GCCGAAAUAGCUCAGCUGGUAGAGCAACUGAUUUGUAAUCAGUAGGUCCCGGGUUCGACUCCUGGUUUCGGCA
This 73-nucleotide transfer RNA is filed under the name Candidatus Rickettsiella viridis. RNAcentral's name for it is "Rickettsiella endosymbiont of Acyrthosiphon pisum tRNA". It matches the Rfam family "tRNA". From Rfam's summary of the family: Transfer RNA (tRNA) molecules are approximately 80 nucleotides in length. Their secondary structure includes four short double-helical elements and three loops (D, anti-codon, and T loops). Lineage: Bacteria; Pseudomonadati; Pseudomonadota; Gammaproteobacteria; Legionellales; Coxiellaceae. The record is from Rfam by way of RNAcentral.